RNAcentral lists this ribosomal RNA (451 nucleotides) under uncultured bacterium. Its description in RNAcentral is "partial 16S ribosomal RNA". It matches the Rfam family "Bacterial small subunit ribosomal RNA", at positions 28 to 523 of the family's 1533-position model. The record is from RNAcentral.
GAUGAACGCUGGCGGUGUGCCUAAUACAUGCAAGUCGAACGGGCUCUUCGGAGCUAGUGGCGGACGGGUGAGUAACACGUUGGUACCUACCCCUAAGUGGGGAAUAACUGCCCGAAAGGGUGGCUAAUACCGCAUAAUCCCGCAAGGGUAAAGCAGUAAUGCGCUUAGGGAGGGGCCUGUGUCUGAUUAGCUAGUUGGUAGGGUAAUUGCCUACCAAGGCGACGAUCAGUAGCUGGAUCGAGAGGUUGACCAGCCACACUGGGACUGAGAUACGGCCCAGACUCCUACGGGAGGCAGCAGUAAGGAAUCUUCCACAAUGGACGAAAGUCUGAUGGAGCAACACCGCGUGCAGGAUGACGGUCUUCGGAUUGUAAACUGCUUUUAUAUGGGAAGAUUAUGACGGUACCAUAUGAAUAAGGACCGGCUAACUACGUGCCAGCCGCCGCAGUAA